RNAcentral lists this microRNA precursor (103 nucleotides) under Marmota monax (woodchuck). The record is from RNAcentral. Lineage: Eukaryota; Metazoa; Chordata; Mammalia; Rodentia; Sciuridae.
AGUGUAAUUGUUGGGUCAUAUGGUACUUGCCUGAUAAUUUUUAUGAGAAACUUCCAAAUUGUUUAUCACAGUAGUGUUACUAUUGUAUAUUCCCAUCAGCACU